This is a non-coding RNA of Dipodomys ordii (Ord's kangaroo rat), 58 nucleotides long. The record is from Rfam. NCBI's taxonomy places the organism in Eukaryota, Metazoa, Chordata, Mammalia, Rodentia, Heteromyidae.
UGGCUCAGUGGUAGAGCACUUGCCUUGAAUGCAUGAGGCCCUGGGUUCGAUUCCUCAG